CACCUGGGCAGAGCAGAGCCCAGAGCCGGCUCAGGGGCAGUAAACUGAGCUUCACCUCAGCCACAGCCCUGGCUAGGAUUAAUGAAACAAAGAGGAGGAAACUUGUAAACACGAACUUCCUGUUGACACGAGCUGUAAAUCUGCAAAUAGGCUCUGCUUCCGGCAGGAGGGGAAGUCACCCAAACACAGAUGCAAUGCUAAUAGAAGCCAGUUGGAGAAUGUCAAAACCCUGAUGACUCCAAAACGAUGCCUCAUUGCUUGUUUUCCCCUUUCCUUUCUCACUGCCUCUCCCACCACUGAGCUGAUCUUCAGUUUUGGGGCGUUAACUCUGUUUUACAUCCACACCAGGCAUUUUGGGCACGGGGCUGUGGAUGAUCUCCAGUCCUCUCCGCUGACCUCUGGCCGUCUCGCUCGGGCUGCCUGAGCCUUGGCUCCGUGCCCCGAGCGCAGCCUCGCCGAGCGCUCCGGGCAGGAUGGGAGGCACAUGGCAGCGGUGAAAGGGGAGCCUCUCGCCCUCCCUGUGCCUGGGUGGGCGUGCUGGGCCUUUCGUAAACUAAUAGCUCCCAGCAGUGCUCCUAAAUCAGACUUUGUGGAGCCGGGAGCGCGGCGCUGGAAUGCCGGGCCAGGCGCAAAGGGCUGCGCUGCGCUCUUUCUUCUUUUUUCUCUCCCCAAAGCCAGAGUUUGUUAGGUCUAAAGGGUCAGUGGGGAGCGGGAGAAGGGAGCUGGCAAAGAAAAUAUGGGUAAAAAAAUAAAUGUAGGAAAAUCUAGC
Molecule: non-coding RNA, 769 nt
Organism: Cyanistes caeruleus (blue tit)
Lineage: Eukaryota; Metazoa; Chordata; Aves; Passeriformes; Paridae
Source: RefSeq, a predicted model, not a curated record